GACGAACGCUGGCGGCGUGCUUAACACAUGCAAGUCGAACGGAAAGGCCAUGCUUUUGUGGGGUGCUCGAGUGGCGAACGGGUGAGUAACACGUGAGUAACCUGCACUUGACUUUGGGAUAACUUCAGGAAACUGGGGCUAAUACAGGAUAGGAGCUCCUGCUCCAUGGUGGGGGUUGGAAAGUUUCGGCGGUUGGGUAUGGACUCGCGGCUUAUCAGCUUGUUUGUGGGGGAGUGGCUUACCAAGGCUUUGACGGGUAGCCGGCCUGAGAGCGUGACCGGCGUCAAUGGUACUGCGAGACGGCCCAGACUCCUACGGUAGGCAGCAGUGGAGAAUAUUGCACAAUGGGCGGAAGCGUGAGGCAGCAACGCCGCGUGCGGGAUGACGGCUUUCGGGUGGUAAACCACUUUCGCCUGUGACGAAGCCUUCGUGACGGUAACUGGUAAAGAAGCACCGGCUAACUACGUG
RNAcentral lists this ribosomal RNA (468 nucleotides) under uncultured bacterium. RNAcentral's name for it is "partial 16S ribosomal RNA". It matches the Rfam family "Bacterial small subunit ribosomal RNA", at positions 28 to 507 of the family's 1533-position model. The record is from RNAcentral.